Molecule: ribosomal RNA, 446 nt
Filed under: uncultured bacterium
Lineage: Bacteria
Description: partial 16S ribosomal RNA
Rfam family: Bacterial small subunit ribosomal RNA
Source: RNAcentral
CCUACGGGGCGCAGCAGUCGAGAAUCAUUCACAAUGGGGGAAACCCUGAUGGUGCGACGCCGCGUGGGGGAAUGAAGGUCUUCGGAUUGUAAACCCCUGUCAUGUGGGAGCAAAUUAAAAAGAUAGUACCACAAGAGGAAGAGACGGCUAACUCUGUGCCAGCAGCCGCGGUAAUACAGAGGAUUCAAGCGUUGUUCGGAAUCACUGGGCGUAAAGCGUGCGUAGGCUGUUUCGUAAGACGUGUGUGAAAGGGGCGGGCUCAACCCGCGGACGGCACAUGAUACUGCGAGACUAGAGUAAUGGAGGGGGAACCGGAAUUCUCGGUGUAGCAGUGAAAUGCGUAGAGAUCGAGAGGAACACUCGUGGCGAAGGCGGGUUCCUGGACAUUAACUGACGCUGAGGCACGAAGGCCAGGGGAGCGAAAGGGAUUAGAUACCCCAGUAGUC